RNAcentral lists this ribosomal RNA (556 nucleotides) under Encarsia bimaculata. RNAcentral describes it as "partial large subunit ribosomal RNA". It matches the Rfam family "Eukaryotic large subunit ribosomal RNA", at positions 347 to 674 of the family's 3401-position model. Lineage: Eukaryota; Metazoa; Arthropoda; Insecta; Hymenoptera; Aphelinidae. The record is from RNAcentral.
AGUACCGUGAGGGAAAGUUGAAAAGAACUUUGAAGAGAGAGUUCAAUAGUACGUGAAACCGUUCAGGGGUAAACCUGAGAAACCCAAAAGAUCGAAUGGGGAGAUUCAUCGUCAGCUACUUUGGCUUGCGUGCGGGCUCGAUGAUCGGGACUUCGGUUCUGCGUCACGCGCUCGCUGCGUCAUGUCCGAGGUCGCCGGCGUGCACUUCUCCCCUAGUAGGACGUCGCGACCCGCUGGGUGCUGGUCUACGGCCCGGUUGUAAGUCUGAUGUGUCUCGUUUACGCGUGUCACGCGUCAGACAACUGGCUGCCCGACCGGCUGCCCGGCGGUAUUGAACGAUAAUUAAACGGUAUUGGGCCGCAUCAAGUGCGUUCAGGCCCUUUGGCAGGUUUGCCUCGCUCGGAUUUACGGACCUAGUGCCGUUGCCGGGUGCUUGGUAGAUUGUUUAGCCGAAGGUGUCCUCGGACUGGCUCUUUUAUAUUCGAACGGAUAUACCGGUCGGCGACGCUACUGCUUUGGGUACUUUCAGGACCCGUCUUGAACACGGACCAAAAGC